GAUGAACGCUAGCGGGAGGCUUAACACAUGCAAGUCGAGGGGCAUCACGAGGUAGCAAUACUUUGGUGGCGACCGGCGCACGGGUGAGUAACGCGUAUGUAACCUACCCUGUACAGGGGGAUAGCCCGGAGAAAUUCGGAUUAAUACCCCAUAAAGAUAUCGGAAGGCAUCUUUUGAUAUUUAAAGUUUCGACGGUACGGGAUGGGCAUGCGUAACAUUAGCUAGUUGGUAAGGUAACGGCUUACCAAGGCGACGAUGUUUAGGGGUCCUGAGAGGGUGAUCCCCCACACUGGUACUGAGACACGGGCCAGACUCCUACGGGAGGCAGCAGUGAGGAAUAUUGGUCAAUGGGCGUAAGCCUGAACCAGCCAUCCCGCGUGAAGGAAGACGGCGCUAUGCGUUGUAAACUUCUUUUCCGGAGGAAUAAAAUUUCGUACGUGUACGGAACUGAAGGUACUCCGGGAAUAAGCAUCGGCUAACUCCGUGCCAGCAGCCGCGGUAAU
This 503-nucleotide ribosomal RNA is filed under the name uncultured bacterium. RNAcentral describes it as "bacterial SSU rRNA". It matches the Rfam family "Bacterial small subunit ribosomal RNA", at positions 28 to 524 of the family's 1533-position model. The record is from RNAcentral.